Passer domesticus (house sparrow) is the source of this 4298-nucleotide long non-coding RNA. RefSeq lists it as uncharacterized. Lineage: Eukaryota; Metazoa; Chordata; Aves; Passeriformes; Passeridae. The record is from RefSeq and is a predicted model, not a curated record. The transcript has 12 exons.
GGUAGCUCAUGCUGUGUCCUGGGUGAGAUGCUCUUGCUGUGGCCUGGAGCUGCUCUGAGAGCAGCUCCAGCAUGUGGUAAAGGGCUUCUGUACCAUCCUGAUUUCCAGGCAUUUACUAAUCCCUGGAAAUGCAGAAAAGCUUUUUUCUAGGCUGCAGGAGGCUUCUGUGAUGGGGAGGACUUGCAAGUGCAUCACAGAAUCACUCUCACAGCUUGACAGCCUGGAAGGACAUGCUGUAGAUCUGGAGUUGGAUGAAUUCCUCUUGGAGUUUUGGAAGCAGGCCUGCAACGCCAGGGAGAACCAGAGACUUGGCAGGGAAAGCUUUCCCUUUCCAGGCGUGUAUGUUGUGUUUGAAGCCUGAAAUGAAAGCAAGUUUUUCCAGCCCUUUAAAACUUGAAGAAAUCUGUCCCUCUGACCCACCUUCUACCAUGAAAUAGUUUCCUUCCUAACACCUGUUGGAGGCUGACGCAGAAGUCUCUGUGUUGGCCUGUCCAGGGAGACACGGUGAGCUGGCAGGAGCCACCCCACAAUACCUCAGCAGUUAACACUUCAGCUCACAGUGAAAGCAGCUGCUUUGCUCCACGCCUCAUAAAGCCCUGAACAAACUUUUACACAUUUGUGCUGAGAGAAGGGAUAGAUACUCCUUAUCCGCUUCCCCGCCAGCGCGCAGCACAGCCCGGCAAUUCUGGCGGGGCCGUGGUUAUCAGGGGGAGACACCAAGCUGUCAAAUGGGAGGAGGCUCUUUGAAGUGUGGAGAUAAGGACCCUUCUGACCUUCAGUCAGGUAUGAAAGCCAUUUCCAGCGGCACGGAGCGUGUCCUUCCACUGGACUCCUCAUGGAAUUGCCCAGCUGAGUUCAUUCAGAUUCCUCAGAGGGGCUGGCAUUGGCAGCUGCAUCAUGGUGGUGCCUUGAGAAAGCACUUCUGCACAGUAUUUCUCAUGUAAGCAAAAGCUCUCAGCACUGAAAAUCUUCCCAAAAAAUUAUUCCCCUGAGCUGGUUUCCAUGCAGAUGCCCUCAAAGAAGAAGCCUGAGAUUCCUUGGUGCUGUUCCCUCUGUGCAAGUGGGCAGGAACUGGGUGCACUGACUGGCAAAUGUCUUUGAGACCAUGGAAGGACAGAAAAUCAGUGUGGAAGAAGUGAGCACACCGUGACUGCUGCCUUGACAUUGUGCCGAGCUGACAUCCCAACCGGUCUGACACUGAUGCCUUUGGGCAGAAAUCAGAGCCGGUUUGCUCCAUGCUCCGUGCAGCCACGACGCCUGUAGCGCCUCGCAGAGCCCCCAGUGCCCUGCUGGGGAAAUGGAGCGAGCACGUGGGCCCCAGAUGAACCCCGGCGAGAGCGCAGGCGUCACCCGCGCCCAUCCUCCUGCCCAUUUCCAGCUCUAAGUGUUCACAUUCACAUGGGUUUAUUUAUUUUUAUUUCCCCCUCCCUUUUCUCUCCCUUUUUCCCUUGCCUGCAAGAGGGUUGGUUUCCUGUUUCUCUCCCCACUGCAGAGUCCUUGGGGAGCUGGGUUUCUGUGAGCUGGAAAAGGAGCGCACAAGAGUCUGAUCAGCCCUUAUUAGUGUUGAGAAAGAUCUAAUGGGUCCUGGCUUCUGGGACCAUUACCUGUCAUUUACUUUUAUUAAGUCAGUGAUGAGAAAGUUUAAAAUUAAAGGCUUUGUAAAUUGGAUUCCAGUUCCAAAGGAAAGCACCGACCAGGAAAUCAGAGCCUAAGCUUGCAGAUGGACCACUGGGAACAGCACCAGUCUGGGGCAUUUCUCUUCAUCUGCUUUGACAAAGGUCCUGUGCCAGGGUGUGGAGGGGACACAGCCUCAGGGUGUCUAGAAACCUUCAGCUAUGUGAACCAUGUAAUCCCUCCUUUGCCAGGCUACUCAGGUUCAGACCUCCUGUUCAGGAGGAAGGGUGAUCUUCUGGCUUAGCCAUUACCCAGGCUGGGAGCUCUGUUCUGGCUGAAAUUAUCCCAGGCAGGUCACAUCAUCUCCCCAUGGUUCAUUUCCUGGUUUGUAAGGAGAAGGACCUUGUGCUAGUAUUGAUUUUGUUUCUUACCUGUUGCCUGGUUUGGGCACUCAGCUCUUUGGGGCUGGUACUCUCCUUGACUCUUGUGCUUACAAGAGAAGCUCCAACUCCUUUGAGUGUUCUAGGCAAAAAUAAAGACUUUUCUUAAGUCUGUAGCAAGUAAAAGGGGUGAGCCCCUUAGUUGAGAUAAAUAUCUAAUUCUUAGGAAUUGUAGCAUUGUUGUAUUCUCUGUUUUUGAGACUUAAUCUUUGAAUUAACCACCCAAACACACUUGUGAGUGAAACACCCCAAUUGCACUAAAGCAGUGCAGCCAAUUAUGGUGUGACAAGGAAAGCUCAGGGGCCAACCCCAACCAAGAGCUGCUGUCACUUCUGUUUUCUCAGCUGAAUAAAAGUCUCACGGUGACACUGCUCUGAUGAGAAGCAGCAUGAACUAGUGGUUAUAAGUACAGUCUGGGAAUCAGAAUUCUUGGUUAUUGUGUCUCAGUUUGCCUUUGACUGGAGUGACAUAGGAGAAGUUACCUAAGGUCAGGAUUUUAGGUUGUCUUGUGCCCAUUGUUAAAUACACAAGUUGUACUUACAUGGCUUUGCAUGAAGAUUGGAGGUCCACAAGAUGUUUGAGAGGUACAAAGCUCCACCAAAGCACAGGGCUUAGCCAGUUAGUAGGAAUUUGCAGAAUUAAGUGUUUGUCUCCUGAAGGGAGAAUGAAACAGAGAUUCCCUUUAAACUCAUGGUUUCUUGGAAAAGUUCACCUCAGGUUCUCCCUGCAUGGCUUGGCAGUUUUCAUGUCCCAGUGUUUUGCCUGUGUUGUUUAUCAUUAUUGUUGUUCUUAGUGUUGUUAUUAUUAUUAUUAUUAUUAUUAUUAUUAUUAUUAUUAUUAUUAUUAUAUCAUACUAUAUUUACUUUUAACAGAAGUGACAUUUGUGCAUAUUUGGAAGGGAUACCCUCUGCCCAUCCCUUCUAGCACCCCUAUAGCCAAGCUCCAGGUGUGAGUCCCCACUUUUAGAAAGAUUCCCCUGUUUUUAAAGAACCAGGACUGAGAGCAGAGGCUCACUCUGUACAAAUCCAAACCUUUCAUCUUCUUUGCCCAGAGAGAUUCCAAACCACACCACAGGAGGUGAGAAAAUAUACCCGGAGGAAAGUGUGACAGGGAGGGAUGGCUAAGGACAGGCAGGGAAGAGGCACUUGGACAACCCUGAACUCAGAAUUCCUGCCAAAUGAGGCUAAGCACGUGUUAACUCCAGGUCAUUCUUCCUGUCUGUCCACAGGCACAGCAGCACCUUGGCUUCAGCUAAUUGCCAGGUUCCCUUGAAGGAGGAGUGAUGCUUCUCCCAAGUUUCUCUGCUAGAGAUGUGAGGAGCUGAUCUCUGAGUUAUUCAGUGGUUUCUUACAUCAUUCCUGCAUUCCCAGCCGUGCCACAAGGCUUUCAGAAGACUGUGAAACCAAGAAUGAGAGACAAGCAUGAGCCUUCCUCCAGCCCCUUGUGUCAUCUGGGCAUGCUCGUGCCACGUGUCACUGCAGACAGCUGGGACAUCUGGAACGGGUUCAUGAAAGUUCCUCUGUCUGGUUCAGUGCCUGGUCACAGCGAGUUUUCCUGGCACAAGUGAGUGGAAAGAGCACUUUGGCAUGGAGAGGAAAUGAGCAGCAGAGGGUGAAAGGUGUCCUGGCAGGCACUUCCCAUUUGUGUCCUUAUCUCCCAGCCUGCAGCCGUCUUCAAAGGCUUCCCAGCUCCUGUGUCCUGCAAGUUCAAAACCCUGCAGCCCACUGGGACUGGAGAAGUGUGAAGGAGCACAAGGAUUGGAGUUGAAUGACAGUCCUUUCCUUCUGACUUGGAAAUCUGCUAGGUUGCUGCUGUUUUUCUCAGAGAUGAUCCUUGGCUCACUAUCAAGUGAAUUGCUAAUGAAUUAGUUACACUUACAUUUUUAAAAAAGAGAUGUGAGUCUGGGGACACCCGAGGAAUUCUUCCUCAGCCAGAAAGAGAUCCUCAUUGAAAUGGACUCCAGGAAGUUGAAUUAGAUGAUCAGGGCAUUUUGGUGCCCUUGAAGACAAGGAAAGAUGAGGGUAGAGAGAGGAAGAUAAGAAGAGUAAGCAAGCAGUGUUGUUUGCCAUUCCAGGAUAAAUACGGAGCCGCCUGCCCCUGGGGGCCAUGCACUGUGUUCCUCCCCCCAGAGUGUGCAAAUAUUUGCAGCAGAGCAGCCUCUGAGCCCUGAGACGUGAGCAGCGACACGAGGAGGUGCAGCCCAGGGCAGGGGCAAGGCCAGAGGGUGUGAAAGCAGCACAAGCC